UCUUCCACAAUGGGCGAAAGCCUGAUGGAGCAACGCCGCGUGGGUGAAGAAGGUCUUCGGGGCGUAAAACACUGUUGUAAGAGAAGAAUGACAUUGAGAGUAACUGUUCAAUGUGUGACGGUAUCUUACCAGAAAGGAACGGCUAAAUACGUGCCAGCAGCCGCGGUAAUACGUAUGUUCCAGGCGUUAUCCGGAUUUAUUUGGCGUAAAGCGAGCGCAGACGGUUAUUUAAGUCUGAAGUGAAAGCCCUCAGCUCAACUGAGGAAUUGCUUUGGAAACUGGAUGACUUGAGUGCAGUAGAGGAAAGUGGAACUCCAUGUGUAGCGGUGAAAUGCGUAGAUAUAUGGAAGAACACCAGUGGCGAAAGCGGCUUUCUGGACUGUAACUGACGUUGAGGCUCGAAAGUGUGGGUAGCAAACAGG
RNAcentral lists this ribosomal RNA (422 nucleotides) under uncultured bacterium. Its description in RNAcentral is "bacterial SSU rRNA". It matches the Rfam family "Bacterial small subunit ribosomal RNA", at positions 362 to 776 of the family's 1533-position model. The record is from RNAcentral.